Molecule: ribosomal RNA, 468 nt
Filed under: uncultured bacterium
Lineage: Bacteria
Description: partial 16S ribosomal RNA
Rfam family: Bacterial small subunit ribosomal RNA
Source: RNAcentral
GAUGAACGCUGGCGGCGUGCUUAACACAUGCAAGUCGAACGGUGAAGGCGGAGCUUGCUCUGCUGGAUCAGUGGCGAACGGGUGAGUAACACGUGAGCAAUCUGCCCCUGACUCUGGGAUAAGCGCUGGAAACGGCGUCUAAUACUGGAUACGAGCUGCGAAGGCAUCUUCAGCAGCUGGAAAGAACUUCGGUCAGGGAUGAGCUCGCGGCCUAUCAGCUUGUUGGUGAGGUAACGGCUCACCAAGGCGUCGACGGGUAGCCGGCCUGAGAGGGUGACCGGCCACACUGGGACUGAGACACGGCCCAGACUCCUACGGGAGGCAGCAGUGGGGAAUAUUGCACAAUGGGCGAAAGCCUGAUGCAGCAACGCCGCGUGAGGGACGACGGCCUUCGGGCUGUAAACCUCUUUUAGCAGGGAAGAAGCGAAAGUGACGGUACCUGCAGAAAAAGCGCCGGCUAACUACGUG